AGCGUACACGGUGGAUGCCCUGGCAGUCAGAGGCGAUGAAGGACGUGCUAAUCUGCGAUAAGCGUCGGUGAGGUGAUAUGAACCGUUAUAACCGGCGAUUUCCGAAUGGGGAAACCCAGUGUGUUUCGACACACUAUCAUUAACUGAAUCCAUAGGUUAAUGAGGCGAACCGGGGGAACUGAAACAUCUAAGUACCCCGAGGAAAAGAAAUCAACCGAGAUUCCCCCAGUAGCGGCGAGCGAACGGGGAGGAGCCCAGAGCCUGAAUCAGUGUGUGUGUUAGUGGAAGCGUCUGGAAAGGCGUGCGAUACAGGGUGACAGCCCCGUACACAAAAAUGCACAUACUGUGAGCUCGAUGAGUAGGGCGGGACACGUGGUAUCCUGUCUGAAUAUGGGGGGACCAUCCUCCAAGGCUAAAUACUCCUGACUGACCGAUAGUGAACCAGUACCGUGAGGGAAAGGCGAAAAGAACCCCGGCGAGGGGAGUGAAAAAGAACCUGAAACCGUGUACGUACAAGCAGUGGGAGCCUCUUAAUGGGGUGACUGCGUACCUUUUGUAUAAUGGGUCAGCGACUUAUAUUCUGUAGCAAGGUUAACCGAAUAGGGGAGCCGAAGGGAAACCGAGUCUUAACUGGGCGUUAAGUUGCAGGGUAUAGACCCGAAACCCGGUGAUCUAGCCAUGGGCAGGUUGAAGGUUGGGUAACACUAACUGGAGGACCGAACCGACUAAUGUUGAAAAAUUAGCGGAUGACUUGUGGCUGGGGGUGAAAGGCCAAUCAAACCGGGAGAUAGCUGGUUCUCCCCGAAAGCUAUUUAGGUAGCGCCUCGUGAAUUCAUCUCCGGGGGUAGAGCACUGUUUCGGCAAGGGGGUCAUCCCGACUUACCAACCCGAUGCAAACUGCGAAUACCGGAGAAUGUUAUCACGGGAGACACACGGCGGGUGCUAACGUCCGUCGUGAAGAGGGAAACAACCCAGACCGCCAGCUAAGGUCCCAAAGUCAUGGUUAAGUGGGAAACGAUGUGGGAAGGCCCAGACAGCCAGGAUGUUGGCUUAGAAGCAGCCAUCAUUUAAAGAAAGCGUAAUAGCUCACUGGUCGAGUCGGCCUGCGCGGAAGAUGUAACGGGGCUAAACCAUGCACCGAAGCUGCGGCAGCGACACUAUGUGUUGUUGGGUAGGGGAGCGUUCUGUAAGCCUGUGAAGGUGUGCUGUGAGGCAUGCUGGAGGUAUCAGAAGUGCGAAUGCUGACAUAAGUAACGAUAAAGCGGGUGAAAAGCCCGCUCGCCGGAAGACCAAGGGUUCCUGUCCAACGUUAAUCGGGGCAGGGUGAGUCGACCCCUAAGGCGAGGCCGAAAGGCGUAGUCGAUGGGAAACAGGUUAAUAUUCCUGUACUUGGUGUUACUGCGAAGGGGGGACGGAGAAGGCUAUGUUGGCCGGGCGACGGUUGUCCCGGUUUAAGCGUGUAGGCUGGUUUUCCAGGCAAAUCCGGAAAACCAAGGCUGAGGCGUGAUGACGAGGCACUACGGUGCUGAAGCGACAAAUGCCCUGCUUCCAGGAAAAGCCUCUAAGCAUCAGGUAACAUCAAAUCGUACCCCAAACCGACACAGGUGGUCAGGUAGAGAAUACCAAGGCGCUUGAGAGAACUCGGGUGAAGGAACUAGGCAAAAUGGUGCCGUAACUUCGGGAGAAGGCACGCUGAUAUGUAGGUGAAGCGACUUGCUCGUGGAGCUGAAAUCAGUCGAAGAUACCAGCUGGCUGCAACUGUUUAUUAAAAACACAGCACUGUGCAAACACGAAAGUGGACGUAUACGGUGUGACGCCUGCCCGGUGCCGGAAGGUUAAUUGAUGGGGUUAGCGGUAACGCGAAGCUCUUGAUCGAAGCCCCGGUAAACGGCGGCCGUAACUAUAACGGUCCUAAGGUAGCGAAAUUCCUUGUCGGGUAAGUUCCGACCUGCACGAAUGGCGUAAUGAUGGCCAGGCUGUCUCCACCCGAGACUCAGUGAAAUUGAACUCGCUGUGAAGAUGCAGUGUACCCGCGGCAAGACGGAAAGACCCCGUGAACCUUUACUAUAGCUUGACACUGAACAUUGAGCCUUGAUGUGUAGGAUAGGUGGGAGGCUUUGAAGUGUGGACGCCAGUCUGCAUGGAGCCGACCUUGAAAUACCACCCUUUAAUGUUUGAUGUUCUAACGUUGGCCCGUAAUCCGGGUUGCGGACAGUGUCUGGUGGGUAGUUUGACUGGGGCGGUCUCCUCCUAAAGAGUAACGGAGGAGCACGAAGGUUGGCUAAUCCUGGUCGGACAUCAGGAGGUUAGUGCAAUGGCAUAAGCCAGCUUGACUGCGAGCGUGACGGCGCGAGCAGGUGCGAAAGCAGGUCAUAGUGAUCCGGUGGUUCUGAAUGGAAGGGCCAUCGCUCAACGGAUAAAAGGUACUCCGGGGAUAACAGGCUGAUACCGCCCAAGAGUUCAUAUCGACGGCGGUGUUUGGCACCUCGAUGUCGGCUCAUCACAUCCUGGGGCUGAAGUAGGUCCCAAGGGUAUGGCUGUUCGCCAUUUAAAGUGGUACGCGAGCUGGGUUUAGAACGUCGUGAGACAGUUCGGUCCCUAUCUGCCGUGGGCGCUGGAGAACUGAGGGGGGCUGCUCCUAGUACGAGAGGACCGGAGUGGACGCAUCACUGGUGUUCGGGUUGUCAUGCCAAUGGCACUGCCCGGUAGCUAAAUGCGGAAGAGAUAAGUGCUGAAAGCAUCUAAGCACGAAACUUGCCCCGAGAUGAGUUCUCCCUGACUCCUUGA
RNAcentral lists this ribosomal RNA (2787 nucleotides) under Escherichia coli. RNAcentral's name for it is "bacterial LSU rRNA". It matches the Rfam family "Bacterial large subunit ribosomal RNA". Lineage: Bacteria; Pseudomonadati; Pseudomonadota; Gammaproteobacteria; Enterobacterales; Enterobacteriaceae. The record is from RNAcentral.